UACAGAGGUCUCAAGCGUUGUUCGGAUUCAUUGGGCGUAAAGGGUGCGUAGGCGGCGCGGUAAGUCGGGUGUGAAAUCUCGGAGCUUAACUCCGAAACUGCAUUCGAUACUGCCGUGCUUGAGGACUGGAGAGGAGACUGGAAUUCCCGGUGUAGCGGUGAAAUGCGCAGAUAUCGGGAGGAACACCAGUAGCGAAGGCGGCUCCCUGGGCCAUUCCUGACGCUGAGACGCGAAAGCGUGGGGAGCAAACAGG
This 253-nucleotide ribosomal RNA is filed under the name uncultured bacterium. Its description in RNAcentral is "partial 16S ribosomal RNA". It matches the Rfam family "Bacterial small subunit ribosomal RNA", at positions 524 to 776 of the family's 1533-position model. The record is from RNAcentral.